AUUGAACGCUGGCGGCAGGCCUAACACAUGCAAGUCGAGCGGAUGAAGGGAGCUUGCUCCUGGAUUCAGCGGCGGACGGGUGAGUAAUGCCUAGGAAUCUGCCUGGUAGUGGGGGAUAACGUCCGGAAACGGGCGCUAAUACCGCAUACGUCCUGAGGGAGAAAGUGGGGGAUCUUCGGACCUCACGCUAUCAGAUGAGCCUAGGUCGGAUUAGCUAGUUGGUGGGGUAAAGGCCUACCAAGGCGACGAUCCGUAACUGGUCUGAGAGGAUGAUCAGUCACACUGGAACUGGGACACGGUCCAGGGUCCUAAGGGAGGGAGCAGUGGGGAAUAUUGGACAAUGGGCGAAAGCCUGAUCCAGCCAUGCCGCGUGUGUGAAGAAGGUCUUCGGAUUGUAAAGCACUUUAAGUUGGGAGGAAGGGCAGUAAGUUAAUACCUUGCUGUUUUGACGUUACCAACAGAAUAAGCACCGGCUAACUUCGUG
Molecule: ribosomal RNA, 484 nt
Filed under: uncultured bacterium
Lineage: Bacteria
Description: partial 16S ribosomal RNA
Rfam family: Bacterial small subunit ribosomal RNA
Source: RNAcentral